CCCUUAGAUGUUCUGGGCCGCACGCGCGCUACACUGAUGCAUUCAACGAGUCUAAAACCUGCUCUGAUAGGGGUGGGUAAUCUUUUGAAUGUGCAUCGUGAUUGGGAUAGAUGAUUGCAAUUUUUCAUCUUCAACGAGGAAUGCCUAGUAAACGCAAGUCAUCAGCUUGCAUUGAUUACGUCCCUGCCCUUUGUACACACCGCCCGUCGCUCCUACCGAUUGGAUGAUCCGAUGAAUAUCAUAGACUGAGAGUAUAAGCAGGUUCGCCUGUCUUUGCUUCUCGGGAAGUGAAGUAAAUCUUAUCAUUUAGAGGAAGGAGAAGUCGUAACA
This 330-nucleotide ribosomal RNA is filed under the name uncultured eukaryote. RNAcentral's name for it is "partial 18S ribosomal RNA". It matches the Rfam family "Eukaryotic small subunit ribosomal RNA", at positions 1470 to 1796 of the family's 1831-position model. The record is from RNAcentral.